AUGACAAUGAAAACCAAGCAGCGCAUGUUAACAGAAGACUGGGAGCUUUUUAAACAAAGAAGAUUCAUUGAAGAACAGUUAACCAAUAAGAAAGCAGUUACUGGCGAGAACAACUUCACAGACACCAUGAGGCACAUGUUGUCGUCCCGGCUGAGCAUGCCCGACUGCCCCAACUGCAACUACAGGAGAAGAUGUGCUUGCGAUGACUGCAGUCUCUCACACAUCCUCACGUGUGGUAUCAUGGACCCCCCCGUCACUGAUGACAUCCACAUUCACCAGCUCCCACUUCAAGUGGAUCCUGCUCCUGACUAUCUUGCUGAGAGGAGCCCGCCCAGUGUGUCAUCUGCAAGCUCGGGAUCCGGCUCCAGCUCUCCCAUCACAAUUCAGCAGCACCCCAGGCUCAUCCUCACAGACAGUGGCUCGGCACCAACUUUUUGUAGUGAUGAUGAAGAUGUUGCACCAUUGUCAGCCAAAUUUGCUGAUAUUUAUCCAUUGAGUAAUUAUGAUGAUACCGAGGUGGUGGCCAACAUGAAUGGAAUCCACAGCGAAUUGAAUGGUGGCGGGGAAAACAUGGCCCUGAAGGAUGAGUCUCCUCAGAUAAGCAGUACCAGCAGUAGUUCCUCAGAAGCUGAUGAUGAAGAAGCGGAUGGCGAGAGUAGUGGGGAGCCCCCAGGGGCCCCGAAGGAAGAUGGAGUGCUGGGAAGCAGGAGCCCCAGGACAGAGGAGAGCAAAGCAGACAGUCCACCCCCAUCCUACCCAACAGAGCAGGCUGAACAAGCUCCAAACACUUGUGAAUGUCAUGUUUGUAAGCAAGAAGCUUCUGGACUGACACCAUCUGCAAUGACAGCCGGAGCCCUUCCUCCUGGCCAUCAGUUCUUGAGCCCAGAGAAGCCCACACACCCUGCACUGCACCUUUACCCUCACAUCCAUGGACAUGUGCCUUUGCACACUGUUCCACACCUGCCACGCCCUCUCAUCCACCCCACCUUGUAUGCAACGCCCCCCUUCACACACAGUAAGGUAAGUCAGGGCAAAAAGGGUCUGAAAGCUCACUCUUCACUGAGAUCCUACAGGAGUACAUAGUCAAACAAAGAAAUCUGUGAAUUAGCAACUUGC
RNAcentral lists this long non-coding RNA (1116 nucleotides) under Gorilla gorilla gorilla (western lowland gorilla). RNAcentral describes it as "lncRNA (ENSGGOG00000044687.1)". The record is from RNAcentral. Lineage: Eukaryota; Metazoa; Chordata; Mammalia; Primates; Hominidae.